AAAUUUAGAUAUAUUUUUUAAUGAAUGGAAUCACAAAUCACUUACAAAUUUAUUAUUUUAAAAAAAUAAAAAUAAUAAAAAUAUAUAUUUUAGCAAUACGUUGAACUAUUCUGAAAGUACAGGUAUUUUUUAUGUAUCAAAAUUCAGGAUUCUUAUAACCAUGUUUACAUUAUUCAAGGUAUCUAAAUGUUUUUGUCAUUGUUAAUUUGAUGGUUCAUGCCCUUUACCAAGUGCUUCUUCCAAUUUGAAAGAAUAAAACUAAAGAAAUAAAUUCUCAUUAAAAAACAAACAAACAUACAAACAAACAAACAAACAAACAAACAAACACUGUUCAACUGAAUAGACUAUUGAAAUUAUGUAAAUAAAAUAAAAUAAAAUAAAAUGAUUUUGAGAUAAAUUUUUAUAUUUCCGAAAUAUAUUAUUGCUACUUAUUCUAAAAACAUAUUGCAUGGAACGAUUACAGGGAUGAAAAUGAUAAAUUUAUAAGUGUGUUUUCAAAGUAUUCUCUUUGAGUAAAAUGUACAUCACAUUUUACUUUAUUAUUAAUACUACAUUACAUCAGAUACAUGAUUAGCUCUACAUUAAAGGUUUUAUUUCAGUAUUUUAAAAUCAUUACAAGAUUUUUUUUUACCAAAUCCAAGAAAAAAUGCAUUGUUUAGUUUUGAUUUUAAUUUUAAGUUUUUUAUAAACCUUAAUAAUCACACUAAAGCAUAUGGUACUAUUUCAUAGUUCCAAUUUCCCAAAACUGUAAGUUUGGGUAUAAAACCAGGAAACCUUUGUAUUGGAUCAAGCCAUUUGUUACAUUGAACAUUAUAUGAAACAAUGAAAUUAGCAUGUUCACGACCAACAAUUGAAAUGCAAUCCAUACUUGAGAUGCAAUCCCACUCAGUUUUAAUACCUGGAACAAAACAUGCAUUGAACAAGGUUUGUGGCAUCAUAGUCACAUAUUCACAAUCGGGAUAAUCGUACACAUGUUGAAUGAACUUCCAAAUGUUUAUUGUUGUAGGAGUUGAUGCUCCACGAGCUAUAAUGUACAAUUCAUUGUUAACUUCAAGAACUUGAGGGUGUUCUACAACCAUUAAAGAUGGCCAAUUGUAAGCUUUCCAAGUACGCGUUUGUAGUCUAUAACCAAGAAUUAAAGGUUGAUAAAUACCGGCCGUAUUUGUGACUAACUCUCCACUCAUAAACAAUGUGGGUCCCUCGCACAACUUUGUUAUCAAUGCAAGAGCUCCAUUGCCACCGCGUAGACUUGGACGCAAUAUUCUACUACACGGCGAUACAAAUACCUCCCACUUUUGAGUGAUUGAUUUAUAAAUAGCUAUUUGCAUACCAUCCGCUUCACCAUCUUUUAUAUUUUUACAAUGAAAUCCCGCAAUGUAGACUACAUAAGAUGAACCACUUGGAUGAACCACCAACCGUGCUACCAUAUUUUCUAAACUAACAUGCAUUGGUGGAAGCACUCGGAAUGUUUGUAUUAUAGGGUUGCACACAACAAGGACAUGUUGAGAUGGGAGAUUUGGAGGUUCAUAUGGUGGAAUCAAAGUGGCACUUUUAAUUUUAGAUUUUAUUUUAUUUUUAAUAUUGGUUUCCAAUGUUUCUCCUUGUUGUACUUCUCUUAAUUGUGUGGAUUCAUUUUCUACAAGUUUGUUUCCUUUUUUAUGUGAUUUAUUCUUUUUUUCAUUUGCGUUUUCAUUUCUAGGUUUACUUUCUUUUGUUGAGGGAUGUGCAUUUAAGUUUGUGUGGGAUUCUUUUUCUCCAAACAAUAACAAUAGACCUCCUUCUCCGGCAAGCAUUCCAUGCACUUUACUUGGAAGAAAAUCUAAUGAAGGCAUUUUUAUCCAUUUUUUUUUCCUAAGAUCAUAAGCUUGGAUUUUGCGCACCAUUUCUUUUUUACUUAGUAUAUUGCAUGAACAUGUAACCGAUCCAAAUUCAAUAUCAUUGGGUUUGGAAGUGAUAGUUCCCAUUUUCACAUAUGCUUCAUUUCUUACUUUGUUGUUUUUUUCAACUUGUUCUGGAACAAUAAAAGGCCCUAAAUGUAUAAUUUGCUCACCUUGGAAAAGAUCAAUUUGUACUAACACAUCUUCUAAAUCAACACCAUCUAAACAAUUAUCAGUAAGAGGUUUGAUAAUUUCAGCUUCUGCUUCUUUUUCUUUCUCAUUCUGAAUCUUAGGUUUCGGUUUCAAUUUAGGUUCAAUUUUUACACUAAGAUCAACCCUCUCUUUUUUUGAUUUUUUCAAACUUGGUGCAAGGACAUUUUUGUUGUUCUUAUCUUCAAUGCCCACUUCUUUCUUUUGCUCCACUAAAAUAUUUGGAUCUUUCACAAUUUUUUCAUGUUCUUUCAUGCAAAAUGAUGUCAACCAAUAAUCAUUUGGUUUGUAAGGUUUAAGGUGGGGUACUAGAAAGGGAUUCUUAGCAUAAUUUAACAUAAUUGACUUAUAAGAUGGUACAAUUCCCACACGAAAUAAUACUUUUGGUGGUAACUUAGAUAGGAUUAGGUCUCGAAUAUUGUGUCUAUCUUUUAUAUCUUCACUCAAAUAUUCAAACCAAGCUUCAAUCCAUUCAUAUUGACCUACUUUAUCUUCCAAUAAUUUUAAUUUUGUCAAUGCCUUAUAAUUAGGUCGAGGUCCGGGUAACCUUUCUUUAUUAGGUGGUUUGAAUAUUACCUUUAAACUCUCUACAAUAUUCAGUCUUACAGUGCAUGUGUUUGUUAUUGUUGUCAUUGUUGAAUACUAAAAUGAAAUGUUUCUUAAACAUGAACUAUAGAUUUAUCAUAAUCUACAAACCAAUAUUUUGGUGUAAAAUGAUAAAGCUAUAGUUUGAAAAUGUUAAAAAUGUACUGGAUUUGAUAUUUUAAAUAAGUUAUCAUAAGAUGAGUAUUAUGAAAUUUGUAUUAUCUUAGUAGUACUCAUAAGUUGUGACUUUUAAGUUAUCAUAGGUAAUUUUUUUCCUUCAAAUUAUUUUUGAAUGGAAUGUUAUGACAUGUGCAUACAUUACAGAAUCCUAACAAAGAGUGUAAACAUGAUUGGAUUUUGAUUUCAAAAUUUAAAGAUGGCAUCUUCAAAGGUUGUAUCUUCAAUAGUCACAUCUUUUAAAAAUAAUUCCUUAUUGUGGUAAUGUUGAGUUGUUGUUGUUGUUAUUAUUAACAUUGUCAUUUUUGUUGAACAAUGAAGAAUAACAAGAGUAUUUGUAACAUGUUCAAAACAUUAUAUGCUUUAAUGGACACACACACACACACACACAUAUAUAUAUAUAUAUAUAUAUAUAUAAAAGAUCAUAUAUUCAUAUAUAUAUAUAUAUAUAUAUAUGAGAGUGUACUGAAUCAUACAUUUUUCAAUUAAAAAUUAAGGUGCAUUUGUUUUUAAAAGAAAUAUAUAUAUUUUAAAACUUGAGUGUGCAUGAUUUUAGAAACUUACAUAAAUACAUUGUAGUUUCAAACUGUAGUUGUUCAGAAUUUGUUCAUAAUAAAUCCGACAUACUAGGGCAAUUUGUUGUUGUUAUUAUUAUUAUUAAUAUAUAAUUUAUGUAAGUAUAGAAAAGAUAUAAUUUAUGAAAGAAAAUACUUUUGUUCCAAAGC
Molecule: long non-coding RNA, 3574 nt
Filed under: Physcomitrium patens
Lineage: Eukaryota; Viridiplantae; Streptophyta; Bryopsida; Funariales; Funariaceae
Description: long non-coding RNA (PPAT_LNC009713)
Source: RNAcentral